This 468-nucleotide ribosomal RNA is filed under the name uncultured bacterium. RNAcentral describes it as "partial 16S ribosomal RNA". It matches the Rfam family "Bacterial small subunit ribosomal RNA", at positions 28 to 507 of the family's 1533-position model. The record is from RNAcentral.
GACGAACGCUAGCGGCGUGCUUAACACAUGCAAGUCGAACGGAAAGGCCCUGCUUUUGUGGGGUGCUCGAGUGGCGAACGGGUGAGUAACACGUUAGUAACCUGCCCUUGACUUUGGGAUAACUUCAGGAAACUGGGGCUAAUACCGGAUAGGAGCUCCUGCUGCAUGGUGGGGGUUGGAAAGUUUCGGCGGUUGGGGAUGGACUCGCGGCUUAUCAGCUUGUUGGUGGGGUAGUGGCUUACCAAGGCUUUGACGGGUAGCCGGCCUGAGAGGGUGACCGGCCACAUUGGGACUGAGAUACGGCCCAGACUCCUACGGGAGGCAGCAGUGGGGAAUAUUGCACAAUGGGCGGAAGCCUGAUGCAGCAACGCCGCGUGCGGGAUGACGGCCUUCGGGUUGUAAACCGCUUUCGCCUGUGACGAAGCGUGAGUGACGGUAAUGGGUAAAGAAGCACCGGCUAACUACGUG